GCCAGGAAGGAGGAGGCAGCCAGAGCGUUCUCUGCAGCAGAAGACCCCCUGCUGCACUGCUUAACCCAGACCAGCAUUUGCCAGGGUGAUAAUCAGCUCUGUAAUGACCUGGGAAGUUUGCUGUACCAAGACUGUAAUUGUGAAGAAAUACAAAUCGAUGCAGGUUUGUCUGUCCUGAAUCUACUGCCAAUCAAUUCCAUUGGAUGACCCCAAGUUCCAGCAUUACACUCUAUGGCUUGGAUCCAAAGAACUAUGAGUAGAAGGAGAAAAUGACAUGGCACUAUUUAAUGGAUGUUUCCGAAAGCAUGGGUAGAAAGCUUCUCACAGUGCUGAGCCUCAUGGAAUUGGGAGUUGCACAGCAGGAUGGGAAACAUGAUGAAUGAGAAGGACACAGGCUGCAGCAGUUGUGGCCCACCUGAGACUCUGCAGCUGUUGUUGGACUACAACUCCCAUCAUCCCCAGUCACAAUAAAUUGUAGGGCAGGGGUCGCCCACAUGAGACUCUGCAGCUGUUGUUGGACUACAACUCCCAUCAUCCCCAGUCACAAUAAAUUGUAGGGCGGGGUCACCCACCUGAGACUCUGCAGCUGUUGUUGGACUACAACUCCCAUCAUCCCCAGUCACAAUAAAUUGUAGGGCAGGGGUCGCCCACAUGAGACUCUGCAGCUGUUGCUGGACUACAACUCCCAUCACUCCCAGCCACAGUCUAUUACAGCUGGGGAUGCUGAGGAGAGCCUCCA
This is a long non-coding RNA of Hemicordylus capensis (graceful crag lizard), 739 nucleotides long. RefSeq lists it as uncharacterized. The record is from RefSeq and is a predicted model, not a curated record. The transcript is spliced from 3 exons. Lineage: Eukaryota; Metazoa; Chordata; Lepidosauria; Squamata; Cordylidae.